Molecule: ribosomal RNA, 278 nt
Filed under: uncultured bacterium
Lineage: Bacteria
Description: partial 16S ribosomal RNA
Rfam family: Bacterial small subunit ribosomal RNA
Source: RNAcentral
AACGAACGCUGGCGGCAUGCUUAACACAUGCAAGUCGAACGCGUGUCUGGCUUCGGCCGGGCACGAGUGGCGCACGGGUGAGUAGCGCGUGGGAACCUGCCCUGUUGUGGGGGAUAACCGAGGGAAACCUCGGCUAAUACCGCAUAAGCCGGAGCGAUCCGGGAAAGAUUUAUCGCGACAGGAGGGGCCCGGCGUCGGAUUAGCUUGUUGGUGGGGUAACGGCCUACCAAGGCGAUGAUCCGUAGCUGGUCUGAGAGGAUGAUCAGCCACACUGGGAC